This is a microRNA precursor of Fukomys damarensis (Damara mole-rat), 91 nucleotides long. The record is from Ensembl. Lineage: Eukaryota; Metazoa; Chordata; Mammalia; Rodentia; Bathyergidae.
GAAAGAUGCUAAACUGUUUUUGCGAUGUGUUCCUAAUAUGCACUCUAAAUAUAUUGGGAACAUUUUGCAUGCAUAGUUUUGUAUCAAUAUA